GUAGUCCAUGCCGUAAACGAUGUAUACUUGAUGUAGUUGGGCUCAACCCCGAUUGUGUCGUAGCUAACGCGAUAAGUAUACCGCCUGAGGAGUACGCUCGCAAGGGUGAAACUCAAAAGAAUUGACGGGGGCCCGCACAAGCAGUGGAGCAUGUGGUUUAAUUCGAUGCAACGCGAAGAACCUUACCCAGAUUUGAAAUACAGAGGACAGUCUAAGAAAUUAGAUCUCCCGCAAGGGUCUUUGUACAGGUGCUGCAUGGCUGUCGUCAGCUCGUGCCGUGAGGUGUUGGGUUAAGUCCCGCAACGAGCGCAACCCUUAUCAUUAGUUGCCAACAUUUAAGGUGGGAACUCUAGUGAGACUGCCUGGGUUAACCAGGA
This 377-nucleotide ribosomal RNA is filed under the name uncultured bacterium. RNAcentral describes it as "bacterial SSU rRNA". It matches the Rfam family "Bacterial small subunit ribosomal RNA", at positions 790 to 1167 of the family's 1533-position model. The record is from RNAcentral.